This 83-nucleotide transfer RNA is filed under the name Candidatus Woesebacteria bacterium. Its description in RNAcentral is "tRNA-Leu". It matches the Rfam family "tRNA". From Rfam's summary of the family: Transfer RNA (tRNA) molecules are approximately 80 nucleotides in length. RNAcentral also lists the same sequence under 2 other names. Lineage: Bacteria; Candidatus Woeseibacteriota. The record is from RNAcentral.
GCCGAGGUGGUGGAACGGCAGACACGUAGGUCUCAAAAACCUAUGACCGCAAGGUCAUGAGAGUUCGAUUCUCUCCCUCGGCA